This 244-nucleotide unclassified non-coding RNA is filed under the name uncultured Hyaloscyphaceae. RNAcentral describes it as "sequence contains 5.8S rRNA gene". The stretch from base 1 to 53 matches the Rfam family "5.8S ribosomal RNA", at positions 102 to 154 of the family's 154-position model. Lineage: Eukaryota; Fungi; Ascomycota; Leotiomycetes; Helotiales. The record is from RNAcentral.
GAACGCACAUUGCGCCCCUUGGUAUUCCGAGGGGCAUGCCUGUUCGAGCGUCAUUUCAACCCUCAAGCACAGCUUGGUCUUGGGCUUCGCCGCUAACCCGGCGGGUCUUAAAAUCAGUGGCGGUGCCGUCGGGCCCUGAGCGCAGUAAUCUCUCUCGCUAUAGGGUCCCGGUGGAUGCUACCCAGUAACCCCCAAUUUUCUAUGGUUGACCUCGGAUCAGGUAGGGAUACCCGCUGAACUUAAG